AGAGUUUGAUCAUGGCUCAGGACGAACGCUGGCGGGNNNUUAACACAUGCAAGUCGAGCGAUAACCAUGGCUUCGGCCAUGGGGAGAGCGGCGAACGGGUGAGUAACACGUGAGUGAUCUGCCCUCGACACUGGGAUAGCCCGGGGAAACCCGGAUUAAUACCGGAUAGCCUUUCGAGCCUACGGGCUCGUCAGAAAAGAUGGCUUCGGCAUUCGGUCGAGGAGGAGCUUGCGGCGGAUUAGCUUGUUGGUGGGGUAACGGCUCACCAAGGCGACGAUCCGUAGCUGGUCUGAGAGGACGAUCAGCCACACUGGGACUGAGACACGGCCCAGACUCCUACGGGAGGCAGCAGUGGGGAAUCUUGCGCAAUGGGCGAAAGCCUGACGCAGCGACGCCGCGUGAGGGAAGAAGGCCUUCGGGUUGUAAACCUCUUUCAGGAGGGACGAAGCUACUCGGGUGAAUAGCCCAGAGGGUGACGGUACCUCCAGAAGAAGCCCCGGCUAACUACGUGCCAGCAGCCGCGGUAAUACGUAGGGGGCAAGCGUUGUCCGGAAUCAUUGGGCGUAAAGAGCGUGUAGGCGGCCAGAAAAGUCCGCUGUGAAAACUCGAGGCUCAACUUCGAGCUGUCGGUGGAAACUUUCUGGCUAGAGUCCGGAAGAGGAGAAUGGAAUUCCUGGUGUAGCGGUGAAAUGCGCAGAUAUCAGGAAGAACACCCGUGGCGAAGGCGGUUCUCUGGGACGGUACUGACGCUGNNNNNCGAAAGCGUGGGGAGCGAACAGGAUUAGAUACCCUAGUAGUCC
RNAcentral lists this ribosomal RNA (800 nucleotides) under uncultured bacterium. Its description in RNAcentral is "bacterial SSU rRNA". It matches the Rfam family "Bacterial small subunit ribosomal RNA", at positions 8 to 796 of the family's 1533-position model. The record is from RNAcentral.